This 119-nucleotide ribosomal RNA is filed under the name Pteropus alecto (black flying fox). The record is from RNAcentral. Lineage: Eukaryota; Metazoa; Chordata; Mammalia; Chiroptera; Pteropodidae.
GACUAUGGCCAUGCCACCCUGAACAUGCCCAAUCUCAUCUGAUCUCAGAAGCUAAGCAGGGUCGGGCCUGGUUAGUACUUGGAUGGGAGACCACCCAGGAAUACCAGGUGCUAUAGGCA